AUGGAAAUGGAGGUCCCCUCCACUCCCACCACCCCAGCGCCCAUCAACUUCUUGCUGCCGGUGGACUCUGAGCACAAGGCCAAGUCCAUCAAGAUCUUCUCCUUCGGCAACCCACACAUGCGCGCCUUCCAUCUCGGAUGGAUGUCCUUCUUCACCUGCGUUGUGUCCACCUUCGCUGCUGCGCCGCUCAUCCCCAUCAUUCGCGACAACCUCAACCUCACAAAGGCCGACAUCGGCAACGCCGGGGUCGCCUCUGUAUCCGGCGCCAUCUUCUCAAGGCUGGCCAUGGGCGCCAUCUGCGACCUUCUAGGCCCGCGAUAUGGAUGUGCAUUCCUGGUCAUGCUCUCCGCGCCAGCGGUGUUUUGCAUGUCUGUCAUUGAUGGCCCCGGCGGAUACAUCACAAUCCGCUUUCUCAUUGGUGUCUCACUUGCCACUUUCGUCUCCUGCCAGUAUUGGGUGAGCACCAUGUUCAAUAGCAAGAUCAUCGGGACCGUCGGUGGCUUGACGGCGGGAUGGGGAGACAUGGGUGGCGGUGCCACACAGCUCAUCAUGCCUCUCAUCUUCGAUGCCAUUUUGGCAUGUGGUGCAACGCCUUUCACGGCAUGGCGCCUCGCGUACUUUGUACCAGGAAUGAUGUUGGUGGUGAUGGGGUUACUCGUCCUCACCAUGGGGCAAGACCUUCCUGAUGGCAACUUGAGGAGCCUGCAGAAGAAUGGAGACAUGAACAAGGACAAGUUCUCUAAUGUUCUGCGUGGCGCCGUCACCAACUACCGCACGUGGAUCUUCGUCUUCAUCUAUGGCUACUGCAUGGGCGUCGAGCUCACCACCAACAACGUGAUCGCCGAGUACUACUACGACAGCUUCCACCUCGAUCUUCGGGCCGCUGGCACCAUAGCUGCGUGCUUUGGCUUGGCCAAUGUCUUCGCGCGUCCCAUGGGUGGCUACCUCUCCGACCUCGCUGCUCGGUACUUCGGCAUGCGUGCCCGGCUCUGGAACAUAUGGAUCCUCCAGACCGCUGGUGGAGCCUUUUGCAUUUGUCUCGGCCGUGCAUCUACCCUUCCCACCUCAAUCACAUGCAUGGUCCUCUACUCCAUCUGUGUCGAGGCUGCGUGUGGUGCCGUCUACGGUGUUAUCCCUUUCGUGUCUCGACGCUCCCUUGGCCUCAUCUCUGGCAUGAGUGGCGCGGGUGGUAAUGUGGGCGGAGGUCUCACACAGUUCCUCUUCUUCACAUCAUCCCAGUACUCCACCGGCAAAGGGCUCCAGUACAUGGGAAUCAUGGUCAUGGCAUGCACCCUCCCCGUCGCACUCGUGCACUUCCCGCAGUGGGGCUCCAUGCUCCUCCCACCCACCGAAGGGGCGACCGAGGAGGACUACUACGCCGCCGAGUGGACGGAGGAGGAGAAGAGCAAGGGCCUACACAACGCAGGCAUCAAGUUCGCCGAGAACAGCGUCUCUGAGCGUGGCAGACGUAAUGCCAUCCUCGCCGUACCUGCCUCCCCACCUCACGUCACCCCUCAACAUGUAUAA
RNAcentral lists this ribosomal RNA (1527 nucleotides) under Triticum aestivum (bread wheat). RNAcentral describes it as "partial small subunit ribosomal RNA". The record is from RNAcentral. Lineage: Eukaryota; Viridiplantae; Streptophyta; Magnoliopsida; Poales; Poaceae.